Molecule: ribosomal RNA, 456 nt
Filed under: uncultured bacterium
Lineage: Bacteria
Description: bacterial SSU rRNA
Rfam family: Bacterial small subunit ribosomal RNA
Source: RNAcentral
UACGGAAGGCAGCAGUGGGGAAUAUUGGACAAUGGGCGCAAGCCUGAUCCAGCCAUGCCGCGUGUGUGAAGAAGGCCUUCGGGUUGUAAAGCACUUUUGUCCGGAAAGAAAAGCUUAGGGUUAAUAACCUUGAGUCAUGACGGUACCGGAAGAAUAAGCACCGGCUAACUUCGUGCCAGCAGCCGCGGUAAUACGAAGGGUGCAAGCGUUACUCGGAAUUACUGGGCGUAAAGCGUGCGUAGGUGGUUUGUUAAAGUCUGAUGUGAAAGCCCUGGGCUCAACCUGGGAAUGGCAUUAGAAACUGGCUUACUAGAGUGCGGUAGAGGGGUGUGGAAUUCCCGGUGUAGCAGUGAAAUGCGUAGAUAUCGGGAGGACAUCUGUGGCGAAGGCGACGACCCUGGGACCAGCACUGACACUGAGGCACGAAAGCGUGGGGAGCAAACGAGGGAUUAGAUA